This 253-nucleotide ribosomal RNA is filed under the name uncultured bacterium. Its description in RNAcentral is "partial 16S ribosomal RNA". It matches the Rfam family "Bacterial small subunit ribosomal RNA", at positions 524 to 776 of the family's 1533-position model. The record is from RNAcentral.
UACGUAGGGUGCAAGCGUUGUCCGGAAUUAUUGGGCGUAAAGAGCGUGUAGGCGGCCCGAUUAGUCCGCUGUGAAAGCCCAGGGCUCAACCCUGGGAUGCCGGUAGAUACUGUCGAGCUAGAGUCCGGAAGAGGCGAGUGGAAUUCCUGGUGUAGCGGUGAAAUGCGCAGAUAUCAGGAGGAACACCAAUGGCGAAGGCAGCUCGCUGGGACGGUACUGACGCUGAGACGCGAAAGCGUGGGGAGCAAACAGG